GGUGGCUCAGUGGUAGAGUGCUUGCCUUGCAUGUAUGAGGCCCUGGGUUCGAUUCUUAGCACCA
RNAcentral lists this transfer RNA (64 nucleotides) under Dipodomys ordii (Ord's kangaroo rat). It matches the Rfam family "tRNA". Rfam says of the family: Transfer RNA (tRNA) molecules are approximately 80 nucleotides in length. Their secondary structure includes four short double-helical elements and three loops (D, anti-codon, and T loops). Lineage: Eukaryota; Metazoa; Chordata; Mammalia; Rodentia; Heteromyidae. The record is from Rfam by way of RNAcentral.